GCGAAAUAUCUGGAUCGGCGCGGGGUAGAUAGGGGUGGUUUCGACUUUUCCGUUGUUGGUCGGUGCGGCCGACUCGGUGGUGGCGCGCCAUUAGCCGAGGGGAGGAGCUCGCACUGUGCGGCGCACUAUAGCCACGCACGUCGUCGCAGCGAAGAGACCCUCGCCCUCACUUUCCCCUCGCCUCUUCCGCUUCGCCGUCGUCGUCCUCUCAUCUCCGCCCUCGUCAGCGAGGAUGGCUUGCUUCGACAUCGCCUCCUCCCAUCACCUCAGUCCCGGCAGCGCUCGGCGUCGUUGGCCUUCGGCCAUUAGGCCACGGAGGGAGCUUUCACUGUGCUAGGGGAUGUUGCGGCGCUGCGAGGUUUCUUUGGCCGACCGUCUCACUUUCAUCUCGCGGCUUCCGCUUCGCCCUCACCAUCCUCGCUUCUUCGUCUCGUCGUUUGCAAGCUACAGUCUGCAGAUCAGCCGUCCUCCGCCACAUCCACGCAGCCCACGUCUUCGGGGUGGCCGGCGCUGCCAUGGCGGCGCUCUGCCGUGGGUUUGAUUAAGGUCAUCGCUGUCCUAGGAUUGCCGCAUCGGUUGGCCGCGGCUGCUCUAGUCGAUCUAUUGUCCAACUGCGUUCUUGAUUAUCUGCUGGGACUAUGUGUGAGCUGCUGCUGGAAUUUUUUGGUGAACUUUCUCAGCUGUUUGAGAAGUAGAUAAUUUCAGUGUCCUUUUUGCUGAUGAAGAACAGUGAUGUUCUGUUGAUUAAGAACAAGAGAAGGGGUCCUUUAGCAUGCCAACGAAUUAUCUCCAGAUUUGCAUUCUUUGCCUAUAUCGUCUCUGUCAACAGCUCGAGCACGGCAAACAAGACUUAAAGACAUGGUCAGGACAUUAGUAAUCAUCUCCCCCUAAUCAUGAUUUAUGUCAUUUUCCUCUAUUUAGUUCCCACAUGUCAUGGUGUCUUUUUAUUUGAUUAGGUUUGUGAUACCUGCCGGCCAUUUGAUCCAGAAAUUUAUUUAUGGAGCUCUUGGUGUAGCUGCCUAUUGCUCUAUCUAGAAAAUUGAUUCCAUAUAUUUCUACACUUUUUAUCGAAAAAUAUAUUUAUACACGUUAGUCAUUUGUAUGGUGCAGGUUCAUGAACAAUAAAUGGUUGUAGAAUGAUUCCAUAUUUUCUCUGAUUGAGUUCCCAAUUUAUACAUGUUUUGAUUAUUUAUGUUUCAGCCUAAUUUAUUCACGAGGUCUUGAAAGUUUUCCAUGGGGCCACGGCGGCAUCCGUUGCGCAGCUGCAGCAGGGAGGGCGGACGGGCAACCGGCCGCCCCAAGGUCCACCCAGCCAACUCCCAUUUGUGGCCUGCCCGUGAGGAGGAUCACGAGGAGCACGGGAGGCCGCCGCCAUCCCCGGCCCCAUAGCAAUGGGCAGCAUUGGCGCUCGCCCAAGGGGUGGAUUUGGCGUGAACGAACUGCAAUUUGGGGUCAGGUCCGUGUGUAGAUUGUUGGAUCAGUAGGGACUGGGCACCACCGCUCUGCAAGCUCGACCUCCCUCCACCUCUCCUCAACUUCAUCCUUGGGAGGCUUCCUCAUGCUGGACUCAGCUUGUACCAAGGCCUGCUAGGACGAAGAUCAUGUUGCAUGACCAUUUUGAGAGAAACAACAAGAUUCUUACUAGAGGAAGAGAUAUGAAUAUAUGGGCACGGAACAGUUUGUUACCUUUCUGUGGGCGUAAGUGGUCCAUAUGGAUCUUGAAUACAUCAUACUAUGCCUCCAAAAAAUAUUGUUGUGCACUUUUAGAUUCGCCAUUUGGGUACUGUCAAAUUACUAAGCACAACUGUUUAUGAAAAUCUGGAGUCCGAUGUUAAUUUACGCUUCAAACAUUGUUAUUUCAGCGUUUCUUUUGUAAGGACGUAGAUGCACACUUACUGAUUAUAUUAGUGAACAAAAUAUGUGGCAAGGAGCCAGCCAAGACACAUGUAAGCUAACAUUUGGCGUCGCUCUGUUCCCUAGGUUAUAUAAAUAGAAGAUGGAGACAUCCCCAAGGUCCCAACAGUACAACCAGGUUGUGAGUUUGUUUUGGGUGAACUAACACACUGGGAUCUUCAUUAGUCAUUUUGAUUUACUUUAGUUUCUGAAUUUCAUCUGGUUUGUCCUUUGCUCCAUAUCUCUACAAAUAUUUUUCUCAACCUUUACCGACAUCAAUAUAUCUUAUGGGCAUAGGGAAGUGGUAUGUCGCCCACAAGCUUGGGGCAAAUAGGCUGGCUACGGAUUAAAAACAAACUUGAGUAAAAGAAAUAGAAAAUGAAAAAGGUUAUCCAGCUCACUAUAACCAGUUAUACCAUUACGAGUUCUGUAUUCACAUCAUGGGUGUGAAUGUAUUCUCUGUUUAUGCAGAUUAGUUUGUUGCUAGAGUUUAUAGAUCAGUUGCAAACAAUUUAUUUGGGUGGACUAAAGAAAACGAGUUUAUUUUAAUAUCAAUUGCUACAUGCUCUAUAUAUUUGUGG
Lolium perenne is the source of this 2474-nucleotide non-coding RNA. Lineage: Eukaryota; Viridiplantae; Streptophyta; Magnoliopsida; Poales; Poaceae. The record is from RefSeq and is a predicted model, not a curated record.